GCUUUUUUUCAUCUCUACUUUCUAAAAAUGGGGUGUAUGUUUUGCAUAAUAUAAAAUAUGUAACUUUAUGCAUGCUCCACUUUCCGUUAUAGAAAUGUUGGGAACACGUCCUUUCUUUUUUCAUUCUCAUCAUUUGGAUAUGCAAUGGGGCAAUAUUUGUUUUCUCUUCCACCAAUUGUAAACUAACAUGCUGAGAACGUAAGCAUCACUCAUGCAAAUACAGUUGAACUUCAUCGAUAUUGCUUUCUGAUACCAUCAACUUUCAUGGUGGACACAACACAACACAAAACAACACAUCCUUAAAGCAUAUCCAAUCCGAUUCAAGACAAAGACAUGCAUGAAAACAUUGACUCCUUAUAUAUCAAAUGGUGUUGGAAAGAACAAGGAUGUAUGGAGAAAAGUUGGAUUGGAUAAACCGCGUGAACCUGCCAUCACAUCGCAAUCGCAUGAACAGUACUUUUGAUGAUUUGGAGAAGAAGCCAGGGACAUGCACACAAUAUGCGACACACUCAUCUCUCUCUACAUAUUCAGUCAAUGACAAUUCAAAUCAUCACCCCAACAGUAUCACCUGAUGUUGAAAUCAAUAUUUAAAGAGUUCAUGACAGACAAAAAAAAAACAAAGAAAAGUAACUUCAGAAAAGCAAAAUACCAAGGAAAAAUAAAUCUUGUUGAAUCAUAUCUAUACUGUUUGAAAACAACCUUUUCAUGUAACAAAACUUAACACCUUCUUAAUUUUGUUUUCACUGAAAGUAAAAUUGUUGUUGGACUUGUCAGAAAUAAUAAGGUUGGAAUCAAAAGGGAGAGUACAUGCAAGAAACAUUCCAAUGUUUUAAGUCAGUAAUCAUGCAGGUAUGUAUGUAAUAAAUGUUCUUGAAUCAGUCACUUACUUUGAGUUUCAACUCCUUUUCAUGCAUUCCACGA
Molecule: long non-coding RNA, 921 nt
Filed under: Phaseolus vulgaris (common bean)
Lineage: Eukaryota; Viridiplantae; Streptophyta; Magnoliopsida; Fabales; Fabaceae
Description: long non-coding RNA (PVUL_LNC005197)
Source: RNAcentral